GGCUGGGAGACCUAGCAGGCUGAUCUGCUUUAAGUCUACACUUUACUUGAAUAAAGCAUUAGAACUGAUCCCUCUGGCAUUUUUGACACCCUUCUUUGGUAUCCCUUCACCCAACAACUCACAUGAGCCCUCCUUUGGGGCAGUGGAUCACCCUUUUUCUGUUUCUUUUUUGCAGACACUGGCUGCAAGGGGUGAUUUCUUCCAUGUGCAUCUGAUACCUGCUAAAUGUAGGCUUCUAUUCUCAUUUUCCUGUCAGCUGAUGGGGAAGCAUUUUGCCAGGACUUGAGCUUGGGGCUUCCCAGGCACUUGGGAACCCCACAUAAGGGAUUUUGACAGGUGGGGUGAGACAACCCCCUUCUCAACUGUGAUGUCCUAUUGAAAACAUAUGCUCAACAGGUAGGUUGUUCCCAAUGCCUGAGAUCACAGAAUUAACCGUUUUGGGUGGUAUCUUCUUUGAAAUGAAUGUCUCCUUAAGAUAUGCCAAGAUACAUUUAAUUACAUCUGGGAUUAUCUCCAGUUAAAGUGUUGAUUUCCAACCUGAUUAUGGAUCAUGGAAUCUGCUUACUCAGGUUCCUAAAAGAAAGAGGGCUGUGCCAAACACAUAAUUCCCCGUUUCUAUUAAACUGUUUUUUGAACUAGAGUUCAGGUAAAUAAAUAAUAUAAUAGGUUUUCCUUUAAUAUAUAUUUGAAGUCCCCCAGCAAUUUAAAUGUAGAACAUCUUCCAUGCAGUGGAUGAAUUUUGGGGUGGGGGAGAAAGACACC
Podarcis lilfordi (Lilford's wall lizard) is the source of this 762-nucleotide non-coding RNA. The record is from the annotation of a GenBank genome assembly. NCBI's taxonomy places the organism in Eukaryota, Metazoa, Chordata, Lepidosauria, Squamata, Lacertidae.